This 385-nucleotide unclassified non-coding RNA is filed under the name Hevea brasiliensis (rubber tree). Lineage: Eukaryota; Viridiplantae; Streptophyta; Magnoliopsida; Malpighiales; Euphorbiaceae. The record is from RNAcentral.
CCCACAUGGUCAAGAUACAUACCAACUUUUGCAAUCAAGUGACAAUGGCAGAGGAGGCUAUUUUGGGAUAUUUGGAGAAUCACGAAGAGAUCUCUGAUUCCGGCAAGUUCGCAGCAGAAAGGGGAAUCGACCACGCCGAGAUCGUCAAUGUCAUCAAAAGCCUCUACGGUUUCCGCUUUGUCAGCGCUCAGGACAUUAGAACGGAGACAUGGGUGCUGACCGACGAAGGGAAAAAGUAUGCUGCUGUUGGGUCUCCUGAAGUGCAGCUGUUCUUGGCUGUGCCAACGGAGGGUAGCAUCUCGAAGGAGGAGCUGCAGAAAAAGCUUGACCCUGGAGUUUUCAAAAUAGGGUGCUCACAGGCUGGAAAGAAUAAGUGGGUGGAAAU